RNAcentral lists this transfer RNA (67 nucleotides) under Adicella ragma. RNAcentral describes it as "tRNA-Ala". Lineage: Eukaryota; Metazoa; Arthropoda; Insecta; Trichoptera; Leptoceridae. The record is from RNAcentral.
AGGAUUAUAAUUUAAUUUAAAAAUAUUUAAUUUGCAAUUAAAAAAUAUUAACUUUUAAUUAAUCUUA